RNAcentral lists this ribosomal RNA (466 nucleotides) under uncultured bacterium. Its description in RNAcentral is "partial 16S ribosomal RNA". It matches the Rfam family "Bacterial small subunit ribosomal RNA", at positions 28 to 507 of the family's 1533-position model. The record is from RNAcentral.
GACGAACGCUGGCGGCGUGCUUAACACAUGCAAGUCGAACGGAAAGGCCCUGCUUGCAGGGUACUCGAGUGGCGAACGGGUGAGUAACACGUGGGUGAUCUGCCCUGCACUUCGGGAUAAGCCUGGGAAACUGGGUCUAAUACCGGAUAGGAGCCAUUUUUAGUGUGAUGGUUGGAAAGUUUUUUUCGGUGUAGGAUGAGCUCGCGGCCUAUCAGCUUGUUGGUGGGGUAAUGGCCUACCAAGGCGGCGACGGGUAGCCGGCCUGAGAGGGUGGACGGCCACAUUGGGACUGAGAUACGGCCCAGACUCCUACGGGAGGCAGCAGUGGGGAAUAUUGCACAAUGGGCGCAAGCCCGAUGCAGCGACGCCGCGUGGGGGAUGACGGCCUUCGGGUUGUAAACUCCUUUCGCUAGGGACGAAGCUUUUUGUGACGGUACCUAGAGAAGAAGCACCGGCUAACUACGUG